AAGGCAAACUAAACCGGUGGCCUACCCCUUAUAUACUGUUUGCUAUAGCACUAUGUGACUGUCAUUUUUGAUUUACGUGAUAUUCACACUGCGACGUAAUACUCCGUUUUAUUUCUUCGGUAUGACCGCCUGACCUCACCCGUCACCCGAAAAAUAAACAGCCGCUCCCCAAACAAACUUUAAAAGAAUACUAAAAUUAGAAAAUGAAAGCGAUAAAAGCAAAACGUCUCUUUUUUAAUUAAUAAAUUAACUUAAAAGUUAUUAUAAAAACAUACAUAGAAAACCUGCAUCAAAAUAAAAAAUCUGUCUAUGUUCCAGCUCAUGUCUAUUUUAGACAGAUCUUCGUCAUUUUGCCCGCGAAACACGCAUCUUAAAUUUUUUUCAAGGAGUCUUUGGUUGUUGUGUUUGUUGUUGUAUUUGUAAACAGAAAGCCUGUUUGCCUUUUCGAGUGAUAAAUUAAAGCCGCGAUGUACACGAUAAUGAAAAAAGAUCAACAUUUGAAGCAAUGCAGGAUUCUUUUAGUUUAUUUCUCCAUAAUACACAUGGAGUUAUUAACUUCUACUCAGUGUCCCUGCAAAGAGGUCGGCAGAUAUGGAGAAAGAAAGUUUCUCUAGUCAUAAAUAAAAUAAUAGCCAUGCUUUC
Non-coding RNA from Ciona intestinalis (vase tunicate), 642 nucleotides. Lineage: Eukaryota; Metazoa; Chordata; Ascidiacea; Phlebobranchia; Cionidae. The record is from RefSeq and is a predicted model, not a curated record.